This 516-nucleotide ribosomal RNA is filed under the name uncultured bacterium. RNAcentral describes it as "bacterial SSU rRNA". It matches the Rfam family "Bacterial small subunit ribosomal RNA", at positions 29 to 518 of the family's 1533-position model. The record is from RNAcentral.
ACGAACGCUGGCGGCGUGCCUAAUACAUGCAAGUCGAACGGUCUUUCUAUGGAAGCUUGCUUCCACUGAGAAGAUAGUGGCGAACGGGUGAGUAACACGUGGGUAACCUGCCCAUAAGAGGGGGAUAACAUCCGGAAACGGGUGCUAAUACCGCAUAGUUUUCUUGAUCGCAUGAUUGAGAAAGGAAAGACGGCCUUUGUGCUGUCGCUUAUGGAUGGACCCGCGGCGUAUUAGUUAGUUGGUGAGGUAACGGCUCACCAAGACGAUGAUACGUAGCCGACCUGAGAGGGUGAUCGGCCACAUUGGGACUGAGACACGGCCCAAACUCCUACGGGAGGCAGCAGUAGGGAAUCUUCCGCAAUGGACGAAAGUCUGACGGAGCAACGCCGCGUGAGUGAAGAAAGGUUUUCGGAUCGUAAAACUCUGUUGUCAGAGAAGAACAAGUUGGAGAGUAACUGCUCCAGCCUUGACGGUAUCUGACCAGAAAGCCACGGCUAACUACGUGCCAGCCGCGGC